GACGAACGCUGGCGGCGUGCUUAACACAUGCAAGUCGAACGGAAAGGCCCGGCUUUUGUGGGGUGCUCGAGUGGCGAGCGGGUGAGUAACACGUGAGUAUCCCGCCCUUGACUUUGUGGUAACUUCAGGGAACUGGGGCUCAUACCGCAUAGAAGCUCCUGCUGCAUGUGGGGGGUUGGAAAGUGUCGGCGGUUGGGGAUGGACUCGCGGGUUAUCAGCUUGUUGGUGGGGUAGUGGCUUACCAAGGCUUUGACGGGUAGCCUGCCUGAGAGGGUGACCGGGCACAUGGGGACUGAGAUACGGCCCAGACUCGUACGUGAGGCAGCAGUGGGGAAUUUUGCAGAAUGGGCGGAAGCCUGAUGCAGCAACGUCGCGUGCGGGAUGACGGGUUUCGGGUGGUAAACCGAUGUCGCCGGUGACGAAGAGUGAGUGACGGUACUGGGUCAAGAAGCACCGGCUAACUACGUG
Molecule: ribosomal RNA, 468 nt
Filed under: uncultured bacterium
Lineage: Bacteria
Description: partial 16S ribosomal RNA
Rfam family: Bacterial small subunit ribosomal RNA
Source: RNAcentral